CUCCUUUUGCUAUGAGAGCCUAGGAACAGAGGCCAAGCAAAGAAGUUCAUGCACUGUAAGCCCUGUGUCUACUCAGCUUCCAGCCAUUCUUUUCGCAAGAGGAAUCCGUUGCUAUCACAGUCAGUACCGCGGAUAACUUGGGAUAUCAGCAACGGAGAAACCAACCACACAAUUCCAUUGUUUCUCUGAGUAAAGUAUUUUGCUUGAAAAACAGGGCUAUAAGGGACCAGUUGAGCCCUGUCCGAGUGGGAGGAGGAAGGACCAUCUCAGCCCGUCUCUUGGAACAUGGAGAAAAA
Molecule: long non-coding RNA, 296 nt
Organism: Molossus molossus (Pallas's mastiff bat)
Lineage: Eukaryota; Metazoa; Chordata; Mammalia; Chiroptera; Molossidae
Exons: 3
Source: RefSeq, a predicted model, not a curated record